UUUUCCAUUACACCUUACGAAACGGGCACGUUUCGUCUCAUCUCUCUUGUUGCAAUUCUGCCUCUCCUGAUACGACCGGUUAUCUAUGUCUUGUCACGUUGGAUGGGAUGCGAAGAACCUAAAAAUGAAACAAACAAUCCAUGCCAUAUUUGCCAGCACUGUGAGGAGUACGCCAAGGCUAGGAGUAGUACUCUUCCCCCGAUCGAGUAAUUAAUUAGCAUGGCCUUUUAUCUUAUGCCUUGUUCGAUCGCCGGUUUCCUCAUCAGAUUCUCCUCAAGCCUUGUAAGUGGUUCGACAAGGGUUAAGCUUCAAUUUGGCCUUCCUUUUUUUUCUCUUCUUCUACAUCUAGUUAAUGUUUUUCUUUUGAUUUGGUUUUUAGUGAUGUUUGGGUCCUCGUACCUGUUUUUUCCACUGGUGUAUUUCACUAUUAUAUAUGUAUUGUUUCUUGAUAAUUUCAGCUCAGGUUCUCCAAUAAGGUGGUAGCCUUAUAUGUAAUGUGAUGUAAAUUAGUGAUCAUUAAUUAUGAAUCAUGUAUUUUUAUUAAAGCUAUCAACU
Molecule: non-coding RNA, 555 nt
Organism: Corylus avellana
Lineage: Eukaryota; Viridiplantae; Streptophyta; Magnoliopsida; Fagales; Betulaceae
Source: RefSeq, a predicted model, not a curated record